AGCCAUUAAAUUGGGGCUGAAAUUGCGGGUGGGUUGUUUUGGGCCGCCCAUUAUGUGUUCCCUGGGCUUAAAUUUUUAGUUAGCAAAGGCCCAACCCGUUAGGUUGCUUUCGAUCUCGUCAAGGAGAUCGUGCGAAGAGGCAGAGGGUGACAUCGAGUUUAGGGUUUGCACAGUAAGAGGCAAGAGGGUUGAUGGGAAGGGUAGGAGCUAGAGAGGGGGUGGGUGCUUUCCACUGACGUUGGUUGCAAAGAGAGAGAUAUCGGGUAUGACAAUUGAAUCCCAGUGUAGUGUAGGAAGAUCCUUCAUGGCAAUUGGCAAUUGACAAUUGAAUCCUCCGAAUAGUAACUGUCUUUAAUCAAUAAUAAUUGUCUUUUGCACCUUCAUCCUUAAAUUAAAUAGUCAUAGCAAUAGGCAAUAAAAUGUUAAUAUUUUUUAUUUUAUAAAAUAAUAAAAAAUAAUUUUAUUUGUAAUUUCGGAUAAGAUUUUUAACUGGCCUCAUUACUUUACGUGUCAUUAUUCGAAAGUACAUUUUUUUGUGAUUGAUUUUUAUCCAAUUCUAUAGCACCACAUGUCGUUACCUUUUUAGAAUCAUUGAAAAUAUUGAAAUGUAGUGUAAAGUGCAAGAAAAUGGUAAGGUAUUAAUAAAAAAAACAUUAUAAUUUUUUUUAAAUUUUUUCGGAUUGUUAAUUAGUUUUAAAAAAAUUAAUAACUUAAUUAAUCUGGACCGUUGAAAUACAAAAUUUUGAAAUCCAACAGUCCAACAUGAGACAUGUGUGGCCCACCCAAACAUUUUUUAUUCUUUUUCUUUUUCUAAAAAAAAUUUAAAGCUGAAAAACUGAACCGUUGAUCUGGAAAUCAAAUGGUCCAGAUUCAAAGUGACUGAGUGGGGCUGAC
RNAcentral lists this long non-coding RNA (894 nucleotides) under Malus domestica (apple). RNAcentral's name for it is "long non-coding RNA (MDOM_LNC002969)". The record is from RNAcentral. Lineage: Eukaryota; Viridiplantae; Streptophyta; Magnoliopsida; Rosales; Rosaceae.